Molecule: long non-coding RNA, 411 nt
Organism: Homo sapiens (human)
Lineage: Eukaryota; Metazoa; Chordata; Mammalia; Primates; Hominidae
Exons: 3
Source: RefSeq, a predicted model, not a curated record
CUGGAGUCUAGGGGCUGCCCAUCAUUGUCUGGUGCGGGGCCUUGGAAUGAUUAGGGCAGAGGAAUAGUGGCCCAGAGUGAAUUGAGGAGCCCUGGGAGGCGUGGUCUCUCCAGGGUCCGCAAGGCCUCCAGAUGUCAACGCAUCCGAAACACAUGAUUGAUGUGGGAAUUCAUGCAACGUCGCUGGGAAUUUGAAACCUGGUGCUCAUCUGGAGAUCAUGGUUGGGAAGAGGAGGCAGGAGCGUCGUCUGAGCUGGCUCAUGAGGGGAGUUUCAGCGUGUCGUGUGGCCCCUUGUUACAGGGCCUUUUGCCAAGGCUGCUCUUGGAGCCUGCCAAUAGCAUCAUGAAGACUCUGCACUCCUCGCAGUGACGAUGCUACAAACCCAGAAGGAGCAACUGCCUCAUCUCUGUU